GGUUAAGCGACUAAGCGUACACGGUGGAUGCCCUGGCAGUCAGAGGCGAUGAAGGACGUGCUAAUCUGCGAAAAGCGUCGGUAAGGUGAUAUGAACCGUUACAGCCGGCGAUGUCCGAAUGGGGAAACCCAGUGCAAUUCGUUGCACUAUCGUUAACUGAAUACAUAGGUUAACGAGGCGAACCGGGGGAACUGAAACAUCUAAGUACCCCGAGGAAAAGAAAUCAACCGAGAUUCCCCCAGUAGCGGCGAGCGAACGGGGAGCAGCCCAGAGUCUGAAUCAGCUUGUGUGUUAGUGGAACGGUCUGGAAAGUCCGACGGUACAGGGUGAUAGUCCCGUACACCAAAAUGCACAGGUUGUGAACUCGAAGAGUAGGGCGGGACACGUGGUAUCCUGUCUGAAUAUGGGGGGACCAUCCUCCAAGGCUAAAUACUCCUGACUGACCGAUAGUGAACCAGUACCGUGAGGGAAAGGCGAAAAGAACCCCGGCGAGGGGAGUGAAAAAGAACCUGAAACCGUGUACGUACAAGCAGUGGGAGCACCCUUUAGGGUGUGACUGCGUACCUUUUGUAUAAUGGGUCAGCGACUUAUAUUCUGUAGCAAGGUUAACCGUAUAGGGGAGCCGCAGGGAAACCGAGUCUUAACUGGGCGUUAAGUUGCAGGGUAUAGACCCGAAACCCGGUGAUCUAGCCAUGGGCAGGUUGAAGGUUGGGUAACACUAACUGGAGGACCGAACCGACUAAUGUUGAAAAAUUAGCGGAUGACUUGUGGCUGGGGGUGAAAGGCCAAUCAAACCGGGAGAUAGCUGGUUCUCCCCGAAAGCUAUUUAGGUAGCGCCUCGUGAAUUCAUCUUCGGGGGUAGAGCACUGUUUCGGCUAGGGGGUCAUCCCGACUUACCAACCCGAUGCAAACUACGAAUACCGAAGAAUGUUAUCACGGGAGACACACGGCGGGUGCUAACGUCCGUCGUGAAGAGGGAAACAACCCAGACCGCCAGCUAAGGUCCCAAAGUCACAGUUAAGUGGGAAACGAUGUGGGAAGGCACAGACAGCCAGGAUGUUGGCUUAGAAGCAGCCAUCAUUUAAAGAAAGCGUAAUAGCUCACUGGUCGAGUCGGCCUGCGCGGAAGAUGUAACGGGGCUAAACUGUGCACCGAAGCUGCGGCAGCGACACUAUGUGUUGUUGGGUAGGGGAGCGUUCUGUAAGCCUGCGAAGGUGGCCUGUGAGGGUUGCUGGAGGUAUCAGAAGUGCGAAUGCUGACAUAAGUAACGAUAAUGCGGGUGAAAAGCCCGCACGCCGGAAGACCAAGGGUUCCUGUCCAACGUUAAUCGGGGCAGGGUGAGUCGACCCCUAAGGCGAGGCCGAAAGGCGUAGUCGAUGGGAAACAGGUUAAUAUUCCUGUACUUGGUGUUACUGCGAAGGGGGGACGGAGAAGGCUAUGUUAGCCGGGCGACGGUUGUCCCGGUUUAAGCAUGUAGGCGGAGGUUCCAGGUAAAUCCGGUACCUUUUAACGCUGAGGUGUGAUGACGAGGCACUACGGUGCUGAAGUAACAAAUGCCCUGCUUCCAGGAAAAGCCUCUAAGCAUCAGGUAACAUUAAAUCGUACCCCAAACCGACACAGGUGGUCAGGUAGAGAAUACCAAGGCGCUUGAGAGAACUCGGGUGAAGGAACUAGGCAAAAUGGUGCCGUAACUUCGGGAGAAGGCACGCUGAUAUGUAGGUGAAGCCCCUGCGGGUGGAGCUGAAAUCAGUCGAAGAUACCAGCUGGCUGCAACUGUUUAUUAAAAACACAGCACUGUGCAAACACGAAAGUGGACGUAUACGGUGUGACGCCUGCCCGGUGCCGGAAGGUUAAUUGAUGGGGUUAUCCGUAAGGAGAAGCUCUUGAUCGAAGCCCCGGUAAACGGCGGCCGUAACUAUAACGGUCCUAAGGUAGCGAAAUUCCUUGUCGGGUAAGUUCCGACCUGCACGAAUGGCGUAAUGAUGGCCAGGCUGUCUCCACCCGAGACUCAGUGAAAUUGAACUCGCUGUGAAGAUGCAGUGUACCCGCGGCAAGACGGAAAGACCCCGUGAACCUUUACUAUAGCUUGACACUGAACAUUGAGCCUUGAUGUGUAGGAUAGGUGGGAGGCUUUGAAGCGUGGACGCCAGUCUGCGUGGAGCCAACCUUGAAAUACCACCCUUUAAUGUUUGAUGUUCUAACGUUGGCCCCUGACCGGGGUUGCGGACAGUGUCUGGUGGGUAGUUUGACUGGGGCGGUCUCCUCCCAAAGAGUAACGGAGGAGCACGAAGGUUAGCUAAUCCUGGUCGGACAUCAGGAGGUUAGUGCAAUGGCAUAAGCUAGCUUGACUGCGAGCGUGACGGCGCGAGCAGGUGCGAAAGCAGGUCAUAGUGAUCCGGUGGUUCUGAAUGGAAGGGCCAUCGCUCAACGGAUAAAAGGUACUCCGGGGAUAACAGGCUGAUACCGCCCAAGAGUUCAUAUCGACGGCGGUGUUUGGCACCUCGAUGUCGGCUCAUCACAUCCUGGGGCUGAAGUAGGUCCCAAGGGUAUGGCUGUUCGCCAUUUAAAGUGGUACGCGAGCUGGGUUUAGAACGUCGUGAGACAGUUCGGUCCCUAUCUGCCGUGGGCGCUGGAGAAUUGAGGGGGGCUGCUCCUAGUACGAGAGGACCGGAGUGGACGCAUCACUGGUGUUCGGGUUGUCAUGCCAAUGGCAUUGCCCGGUAGCUAAAUGCGGAAGAGAUAAGUGCUGAAAGCAUCUAAGCACGAAACUUGCCCCGAGAUGAGUUCUCCCUGAGACUUUAAGUCUCCUGAAGGAACGUUAAAGACGAUGACGUUGAUAGGUCGGGUGUGUAAGCGUAGCGAUACGUUGAGCUAACCGAUACUAAUGAACCGUGAGGCUUAACCUU
RNAcentral lists this ribosomal RNA (2906 nucleotides) under Klebsiella aerogenes. RNAcentral describes it as "23S ribosomal RNA". It matches the Rfam family "Bacterial large subunit ribosomal RNA". The record is from RNAcentral. Lineage: Bacteria; Pseudomonadati; Pseudomonadota; Gammaproteobacteria; Enterobacterales; Enterobacteriaceae.